RNAcentral lists this small RNA (29 nucleotides) under Bombyx mori (domestic silkworm). RNAcentral describes it as "ovarian small RNA-15891". The record is from RNAcentral. Lineage: Eukaryota; Metazoa; Arthropoda; Insecta; Lepidoptera; Bombycidae.
GAGGAGGCAGCGUCCAGUCCGCAAGAGGA